RNAcentral lists this ribosomal RNA (495 nucleotides) under uncultured bacterium. RNAcentral describes it as "partial 16S ribosomal RNA". It matches the Rfam family "Bacterial small subunit ribosomal RNA", at positions 28 to 507 of the family's 1533-position model. The record is from RNAcentral.
GACGAACGCUGGCGGCGUGCCUAAUACAUGCAAGUCGAACGCUGAAGGAGGAGCUUGCUUCUCUGGAUGAGUUGCGAACGGGUGAGUAACGCGUAGGUAACCUGCCUGGUAGCGGGGGAUAACUAUUGGAAACGAUAGCUAAUACCGCAUAAGAGUAGAUGUCGCAUGACAUUUGCUUAAAAGUUGCAAUUGCAUCACUAACAGAUGGACCUGCGUUGUAUUAGCUAGUUGGUUAGGUAACGGCUCACCUAGGCAACGAUGCAUAUCCGACCUGAGGGGGUGAUCAGCCACGCGGGGAAGAGGACACGGCCCAGACCCCUACGGGAGACAGGAGUAGGGAAUCUUCGGGAAUCGGCGGAAGGCUGACCGAGCAAAGCCGCGUGAGUGAGGAAGGUUUUCGGAUCGUAAAGCUCGGUUGUAAAAGAAGAACGAGUGUGAGAGUGGGGAGUACACACAGUGACGGUAUCUGACCAGAAAGCAACGGCUAACUACGUG